UACGAAGGGGGCUAGCGUUGCUCGGAAUCACUGGGCGUAAAGGGUGCGUAGGCGGGUCUUUAAGUCAGGGGUGAAAUCCUGGAGCUCAACUCCAGAACUGCCUUUGAUACUGAGGAUCUUGAGUUCGGGAGAGGUGAGUGGAACUGCGAGUGUAGAGGUGAAAUUCGUAGAUAUUCGCAAGAACACCAGUGGCGAAGGCGGCUCACUGGCCCGAUACUGACGCUGAUGAGCGAAAGCCAGGGGAGCAAACGGG
RNAcentral lists this ribosomal RNA (253 nucleotides) under uncultured bacterium. RNAcentral's name for it is "partial 16S ribosomal RNA". It matches the Rfam family "Bacterial small subunit ribosomal RNA", at positions 524 to 776 of the family's 1533-position model. The record is from RNAcentral.